UUAAAGUUGUUGCAGUUAAAACGCUCGUAGUCGAACUUCGGGCCUGGCGGGAUGGUCCGCCUUACGGUGUGUACUAUCCGGCUGGGCCUUACCUCUUGGUGAGACCUCAUGCUCUUUAUUGGGUGUGGGGUGGAACCAGGAAUUUUACCUUGAGAAAAUUAGAGUGUUCAAAGCAGGCAAACGCCCGAAUACAUUAGCAUGGAAUAAUA
This 209-nucleotide ribosomal RNA is filed under the name uncultured eukaryote. RNAcentral's name for it is "partial 18S ribosomal RNA". It matches the Rfam family "Eukaryotic small subunit ribosomal RNA", at positions 604 to 819 of the family's 1831-position model. The record is from RNAcentral.